CAUGUUGCCCAGGCUGGUCUCAAUUUCCUGGGUUCUAUUGAUCCUCCCAACUUGACCUCCCAAACUGCUGUGAUUACAGGUCUGAGCCACCAUGUCUGGCCCUAGAUUAUGUUUUACUUUCAUCACAGUCCUCUUUUCCACACAUACGUCUUACUUCUCAAUAGGUGGCAUUAAAUUCAUACCAUUUUAGAAAAGAAAUUAAUUCUGAUUGACCCUGAAGUCUAGGAUCUCUCAUCUGAGUCGUAGUAUGUAGCCAAAUUGCUCUAGUUCAUUUUUAAUACUUUCUUUCCUAUCAUACAGUAAACUCCUUUAAAAGGCAAUCUGACAGUGACUAAAGGUCACUUAAGAAGCGUUAAGAAUUUAAAAGUGAGUCAGAUUAUAGGGGGAAAUAGGUCAAACAAUAAAUAUAUGUCGUUAUAUUGUGGUAUUUCAAGAGGCUCUCCAAAUCUUAUUUAAAGUCUCUCCAUUUUAAUGUGUCCAAGAAAAUAAAAGCAUAAAAGAAAA
Molecule: long non-coding RNA, 504 nt
Filed under: Homo sapiens (human)
Lineage: Eukaryota; Metazoa; Chordata; Mammalia; Primates; Hominidae
Description: long non-coding RNA NONHSAT199109
Source: RNAcentral